UGGGGAAUCUUGGACAAUGGGCGCAAGCCUGAUCCAGCCAUGCCGCGUGAGUGAAGAAGGCCUUCGGGUUGUAAAGCUCUUUUGUCAGGGACGAUAAUGACGGUACCUGAAGAAUAAGCCCCGGCAAACUUCGUGCCAGCAGCCGCGGUAAUACGAAGGGGGCUAGCGUUGUUCGGAAUUACUGGGCGUAAAGCGCACGUAGGCUGAUUGUUAAGUCAGAGGUGAAAUCCCGGAGCUCAACUUCGGAACUGCCUUUGAUACUGGCAAUCUAGAGUCCGGAAGAGGUUAGUGGAAUUCCCAGUGUAGAGGUGAAAUUCGUAGAUAUUGGGAAGAACACCAGUGGCGAAGGCGGCUAACUGGUCCGGUACUGACGCUGAGGUGCGAAAGCGUGGGGAGCAAACAGGAUUAGAUACCCUUGUAGUCCCUGAGCGGGCUGGCAAGGCGCAU
This 447-nucleotide ribosomal RNA is filed under the name uncultured bacterium. Its description in RNAcentral is "bacterial SSU rRNA". It matches the Rfam family "Bacterial small subunit ribosomal RNA", at positions 355 to 825 of the family's 1533-position model. The record is from RNAcentral.